GAUGAAGAACGCAGCGAAAUGCGAUACGUAAUGUGAAUUGCAGAAUUCAGUGAAUCAUCGAGUCUUUGAACGCACAUUGCGCCCCCUGGUAUUCCGGGGGGCAUGCCUGUCCGAGCGUCAUUGCGGCCCUCAAGCACGGCUUGUGUGUUGGGCCUCCGUCCUCCUCCCGGGGGACGGGCCCGAAAGGCAGCGGCGGCACCGCGUCCGGUCCUCGAGCGUAUGGGGCUUCGUCACCCGCUCUUGUAGGCCCGGCCGGCGCUUGCCGACACAUCAAUCUUUUUUCCAGGUUGACCUCGGAUCAGGUAGGGAUACCCGCUGAACUUAAGCAUAUCAAUAAGCGGAGGA
This 345-nucleotide unclassified non-coding RNA is filed under the name soil metagenome. Its description in RNAcentral is "partial contains 5.8S ribosomal RNA, internal transcribed spacer 2, and large subunit ribosomal RNA". The stretch from base 1 to 120 matches the Rfam family "5.8S ribosomal RNA", at positions 35 to 154 of the family's 154-position model. The record is from RNAcentral.